CACGUAGGGCGCGAGCGUUGUCCGGAAUUAUUGGGCGUAAAGAGCUCGUAGGCGGCUUGUCGCGUCGUCCGUGAAAACUUGGGGCUCAACCCCAAGCUUGCGGUCGAUACGGGCAGGCUAGAGUGUGGUAGGGGAGAUCGGAAUUCCUGGUGUAGCGGUGAAAUGCGCAGAUAUCAGGAGGAACACCGGUGGCGAAGGCGGAUCUCUGGGCCAUUACUGACGCUGAGGAGCGAAAGCGUGGGGAGCGAACAGG
This 253-nucleotide ribosomal RNA is filed under the name uncultured bacterium. RNAcentral's name for it is "partial 16S ribosomal RNA". It matches the Rfam family "Bacterial small subunit ribosomal RNA", at positions 524 to 776 of the family's 1533-position model. The record is from RNAcentral.